AGAGUUUGAUCCUGGCUCAGGAUGAACGCUAGCGGCAGGCUUAAUACAUGCAAGUCGAGGGGCAGCACGGGUAGCAAUACCUGGUGGCGACCGGCAAACGGGUGCGGAACACGUACGCAACCUUCCCAAAACUGGUGAAUAGCCCUCCGAAAGGAGGAUUAAUACACCGUACCAUAAUGAAGAGGCAUCUCUUUAUUAUUAUAGUCUUCGGACGGUUUUGGAUGGGCGUGCGCCUGAUUAGGUAGUUGGCGGGGUAACGGCCCACCAAGCCUGCGAUCAGUAACUGGUGUGAGAGCACGACCAGUCACACGGGCACUGAGACACGGGCCCGACUCCUACGGGAGGCAGCAGUAAGGAAUAUUGGUCAAUGGACGCAAGUCUGAACCAGCCAUGCCGCGUGAAGGAUGAAGGUCCUCUGGAUUGUAAACUUCUUUUAUCUGGGACGAAAAAAGGGCUUUCUAGCUCACUUGACGGUACCAGAGGAAUAAGCACCGGCUAACUCCGUGCCAGCAGCCGCGGUAAUACGGAGGGUGCAAGUGUUAUCCGGAUUUACUGGGUUUAAAGGGUGCGUAGGUGGGUCUGUAAGUCAGUGGUGAAAUCUCCGAGCUUAACUCGGAAACUGCCAUUGAUACUAUAGGUCUUGAAUAUCCUGGAGGUGAGCGGAAUAUGUCAUGUAGCGGUGAAAUGCUUAGAUAUGACAUAGAACACCAAUUGCGAAGGCAGCUCACUACGGGGUCAUUGACACUGAGGCACGAAAGCGUGGGGAUCAAACAGGAUUAGAUACCCUGGUAGUCC
Molecule: ribosomal RNA, 795 nt
Filed under: uncultured bacterium
Lineage: Bacteria
Description: bacterial SSU rRNA
Rfam family: Bacterial small subunit ribosomal RNA
Source: RNAcentral